Molecule: ribosomal RNA, 774 nt
Filed under: uncultured Neocallimastigales
Lineage: Eukaryota; Fungi; Neocallimastigomycota; Neocallimastigomycetes; Neocallimastigales
Description: partial large subunit ribosomal RNA
Rfam family: Eukaryotic large subunit ribosomal RNA
Source: RNAcentral
AGAGAGAGACAUGCGCGCAUAUCAAUAAGCGGAGGAAAAGAAACUAACAAGGAUUCCCCUAGUAACGGCGAGUGAAGCGGGAAGAGCUCAAAUUUGAAAUCUUAAAGGGUUUCCCUUUACGAAUUGUAGUUUAAAGAAGUGUUUUCUGUUGAGGUUUUGGUAAAAGUUCUUUGGAAUAGGACAUCAUAGAGGGUGAGAAUCCCGUAUUUGACCUUUACUUUCAACUUUGUGAUACACUUUCAAAGAGUCGGAUUGUUUGGGAAUGCAGUCCAAAAUGGGUGGUAAAUUUCAUCUAAAGCUAAAUAUUGGCGAGAGACCGAUAGCGAACAAGUACCGUGAGGGAAAGAUGAAAAGAACUUUGAAAAGAGAGUUAACCAGUACGUGAAAUUGUCAAAAGGGAAGCGUUUGACACCAGUGUUGUUUUUCUGAAAAUCAAUUAAAGAACUGUUUAUGCUAAGUUGUUUAGACUUUAUCAGCUAACUGUUUAGUUUUGAGCUUUUCUUUAAUGCACUUUUCAGUUAACAAGUCAACAUCAAUUUCUUUUGCUGUAAAAAAGCUUGAGGAAGGUGGCUUGAGAUUCGUCUUAAGUGUUUAUAGCCUCUUGCCUAUGCAGUCGGAGAGAUUGAGGUCUGCAGCGUAGAUCCUUCGGGGCUAAAUGCAUUUGUGCUAAGUUAUAGCAUUUUAUAGACAACUUGUUGACUAUGAUUUGUCUUGUAGCUUACUCGCUUAUGUUAUUUUACCUACGCUUAGGAUGUUGAGCGCAUGUCUCUCUCU